GCCAGAUGAGCUGCUCUGGAUCCUUAAAUAUGGAGGGCUAAACAACACCCCCAACACAUGUAAAGGGAAAGAACAUGCAGCUGCUGUGCGGGUCAUUAUCUCCCAAGACUGUGGAAUACUAUCUUCACCAAGAUCUUCCCGUUCUUUCACGGAAGGAGAGUCAGCAGGAAAACUACUUCAUGGCUUGAUAUGGGAAUGCAUGAAAGAAUCAGAGGGCUGUUACUGCAAACUCCCUCUUGUGACCUUGCCUGUGCUGGUGGAAUGAAGAUGCGGAUGGCAAGAAGUGGAUGCAUUUCUAUUCUACGAAGCAAGUAGAGCCCAGAGGACCAGCCUCCUGUGUCUCUCCUUUGGGACCUUGGCCUUCAAGUGUGGGCUCCAGAAUCCCUUGGGAGCAGGUUAGGAAUACAGAAGUUUGGGCCCUGCUGCAGAAUCUGCGUUUUAACAAGAUCUCAGUUUGAAGAUGUGGAUGUACGAUUUGCAGAUCCUGCCUGGGCCUUUAAUGUGUAUACAAAUUACCUGGAGAACUUAUUAAAAAUGCAGAUUCUAGUUCAGAUGUCUGGAGCAGGGAGGGGGCAGCUGAGAAUCUACCUUUCUUGUCAGCUCGCAGCACACUGCUUCUCUGCACGGCUUCAUGACACACAAGGCAGCACAUGAGAGGACUUAGUGCA
Long non-coding RNA from Suricata suricatta (meerkat), 668 nucleotides. RefSeq lists it as uncharacterized. The transcript has 6 exons. The record is from RefSeq and is a predicted model, not a curated record. NCBI's taxonomy places the organism in Eukaryota, Metazoa, Chordata, Mammalia, Carnivora, Herpestidae.